RNAcentral lists this ribosomal RNA (320 nucleotides) under uncultured Thiohalomonas sp. Its description in RNAcentral is "bacterial SSU rRNA". It matches the Rfam family "Bacterial small subunit ribosomal RNA", at positions 114 to 437 of the family's 1533-position model. The record is from RNAcentral. Lineage: Bacteria; Pseudomonadati; Pseudomonadota; Gammaproteobacteria; Thiohalomonadales; Thiohalomonadaceae.
UGCUUAGGAAUCUACCUAGUAGUGGGGGACAACCCGAGGAAACUCGGGCUAAUACCGCAUACGCUCCACGGAGGAAAGCGGGGGAUCUUCGGACCUCGCGCUAUUAGAUGAGCCUAAGUCGGAUUAGCUUGUUGGUGGGGUAAGAGCUCACCAAGGCGACGAUCCGUAGCUGGUCUGAGAGGACGAUCAGCCACACUGGGACUGAGACACGGCCCAGACUCCUACGGGAGGCAGCAGUGGGGAAUAUUGGACAAUGGGCGCAAGCCUGAUCCAGCAAUGCCGCGUGUGUGAAGAAGGCCUGCGGGUUGUAAAGCACUUUC